RNAcentral lists this transfer RNA (77 nucleotides) under Candidatus Levybacteria bacterium CG_4_10_14_0_2_um_filter_35_8. RNAcentral describes it as "tRNA-His". It matches the Rfam family "tRNA". Rfam says of the family: Transfer RNA (tRNA) molecules are approximately 80 nucleotides in length. Their secondary structure includes four short double-helical elements and three loops (D, anti-codon, and T loops). The record is from RNAcentral. Lineage: Bacteria; Candidatus Levyibacteriota. RNAcentral also lists the same sequence under 2 other names.
GUGAUGUUAGCUCAGUUGGUUAGAGCGCUAGGUUGUGGACCUAGAGGUCGCCGGUUCAAAUCCGGUACAUCACCCCA